UGAACAACUUUCCAUCCUCACCUAACCUUUGGAUCAUCGAUGUAGAAAAUUUGCUUGGCCAUAGUUGCCAAAAUGUACGGGUCUUCACUUUACCAACAUCGGGUAGUAUUCAUCGAUAGUAAAUUAUCAUCUUGUUUAACACUCGCAUUCCUACUAGUGUCUAUAUUGAACCAACAACACUUAAAAGGGAUGACUUGGGCAAUGGUCUUUGUGAAGCAAUCGAACCACACUUGUUAGUUUGCCAUAGAAAUCAAUAUCUGCAAUAUCUCCCGCUCCUGGGACAUGUACACCGCUAUUUUGAGUACAAAGUUUGUCAUCAUGAUCAACUUCCAAGAAUUUUAUGUUGUUCACAUGACACCCUGAGUACAGUUUUGCGCUUAAAGGUUUGAUAGCCAAGUUGUAUAAUUCAUCAGUAUAUGCGAGAGAAUUGGUUUCCUUCAGUUUUUUCAACUAAUUUAUACUGAAAAAUUUACAUGUUGGUUUUACCAAAAUUUAAGACAACUAACAUGCAAUUAUAUUUUAGGACAAAACCAACAAAAAAACCUAAACAACUUGUUUACAAAACCAACGAGGAAACAGGUCACGGUGCUUCACGACAUAUAAAUGCGAAGGAUGUUCCCGCUUCAUCAACUCUUCAUACUCAUCUAGGUACUCAAUUAUCUCGUCGCAAUUUUUAAGUACGCACCAAUGAGCUACUUGCAUGUCCCUUUCAAUGAACGAAUCGCCUCGUACUGGUUCGCUAAAUGGUCGUGCGAUUUGGGCAAACAUGAAUAGUUUUUGCACGGUGUGGUCGAUUGAAUGUUGUCUCAACAUCUUGUAAGUAAAUAGCACAAAACGCAUUCGUCUCAAAUGCACCCAAGCCUUCACAAUUGAUCAUUCGGGCUUCACCUUGUUCCUUACACUCUUCUUUAACUAACCCAGUAAUCUGUAAAAAUAAAAUUAUGAUGAUUCAAAUAAGUUAAAUCGUUAAUUGAUCAUGAAUUAAUUAAUGACUAAAGGCUUUAUACCUUUCGAUUGGAUACAUCCAUCGAUAGUUGACGGUUCCGGCAAGUAAUGCCUUAUCUGGCAAUUGAAUUAUCAUGUGGAUCAUUGAUAGGAGCAUAUUUAUGCGACUGAGUUAGCUUGUUCUCAUGCAUUUAUGUUGUUAUUCCUUAGUUGUUUUAGUGUUUAAAGUCAUUUUCGUGAAAUUUCAGGUUCUAAGGACAAAGUAUGCAAUAAGGUGCAUUUUGGAGCAGUUUUGGGCUUGGAAUGGAUAGCACAUGCAUGGAGCAAAUGUUGGAGAUAUGCCCUGAAAGUCAAUCUUUGGAAGAAACCUUUCAGGACAAUGAAUGAGUGUAUAGAUGACUCUUAUACAUCAAAAGGCAAAGAUACUAAUUAGGACUAUCUUAGUAAAUGAUAUAUGUCCUAAAUAGUGAAUCCAUGGAUAAUGGAUCAAUGGAAGAAGUAAUCUAAUGAUGUUAGACUACAGAGACCUUCUUCACAUAACCAUUAUGUCCAAAAAGGUUCCUGGUCAUAAGAUUGUCAGAGGGAUACUGACAAUGCAUAGACCAGUACAUACUAUGUCCCUUUCAAUUGGAAGGAUGGAAAGUCUCAUCCCAUUCGUGUAGUGACACUAAGACAGGUAUGUAGGUGCUCAUUGAGGGAAUGAGUUCACUGAAUACAAUCGAACAAGAGUACUUGCAUGGAGGUCUACUCACAUGUCAAGCAAGUAACUCUAAUGGUUGGAAUAAUGUAAGUAAUCCUUUGACCUGAGACAUCAUAGUUGUCUUGGGGAUACGUUGCUGAUCAUUUUGAUAAUGAGACGUGACCACACCUCAUCUUGGGUGUGUUCUAUGCAUUGUUGGGGUCAGUGAUUUAUUCUCAGAGGCAUGUGAAUGAUCAACAAGGGAUAUCUAAUCCUCGUUAUGAGAGGAUGAAUACUCUAAGAUAUGAUUCGGGAAUCUUCGGCCGAAAUAUCGAGCGUAAUAAAGGAAAGCGUUCCUA
This 1983-nucleotide long non-coding RNA is filed under the name Malus domestica (apple). RNAcentral describes it as "long non-coding RNA (MDOM_LNC010426)". Lineage: Eukaryota; Viridiplantae; Streptophyta; Magnoliopsida; Rosales; Rosaceae. The record is from RNAcentral.